AGUUCUAUACUUUAACUAAAAGAUUUGAUUUGCAAUCAGCCAUUGAGCAUUGUGCCACUCUAGAACUA
Molecule: transfer RNA, 68 nt
Filed under: Pronodularia japanensis
Lineage: Eukaryota; Metazoa; Mollusca; Bivalvia; Unionida; Unionidae
Description: tRNA-Ala
Source: RNAcentral